GGUUGGUCUGAGUGCCCUGGUGUUUACAACUAAUUGAUCAUAACCAGGUUCCUUUGUUCCUUCACCAUUCCCACUGCUUCACUGAUACUGACUAGCCUAAA
This is an unclassified non-coding RNA of Otolemur garnettii (small-eared galago), 101 nucleotides long. It matches the Rfam family "Y RNA". From Rfam's summary of the family: Y RNAs are components of the Ro ribonucleoprotein particle (Ro RNP), in association with Ro60 and La proteins. The Y RNAs and Ro60 and La proteins are well conserved, but the function of the Ro RNP is not known. In humans the RNA component can be one of four small RNAs -- hY1, hY3, hY4 and hY5. The record is from Ensembl. Lineage: Eukaryota; Metazoa; Chordata; Mammalia; Primates; Galagidae.